UUUUUUUUUUUUUUUUUUUUUUUUUUUAAAUAGCGAUUUAACAUUCAGGUUAUUUUGAAGCCUCCACAAUCAAAGGCUGUACAAGUAAAGGUUCUGCUAACACACUCACCCACAUGGUCCAUAUGUUAUAUUUUGGAUAGGCAAGAUGUUAUAUAUAAGUUUUAAUAAAUGCAGCGAGGCUAAAUGAAGUCAGGAAUCGUGAUAUUUGCAUUUACUGUUUAACCAUGAUUUUGCCUCACUCUACCAAAUGAAGACAGACAAUCCUGAGCAGGAAAGGGGAAGAGUCAUUGUCUACUUGGUUUUUACCAAUUUGUGGACAUACAAUCUAAGUUUCAAACCUACCAUCUUAGUCCUGGACUUGUUUUCUCCUUCAUUUAAUUACUCAUCUCUUUUUUCUCUUCCUUCAUAAACUCAUAUCAUGGUUCAAAUACAGAGGGAGGAAGUAUGGAGAUUACACAACUGGAUAGUAGAUCUCACAUCUGUUUGGAGAUAGGGUUAGGCUAUAGUGGAUCUGACUUGCCUUGGAUUCUUGAUUCACGUGAUGCAAGUUGCCAUCCAGAUGACUGUUGUGGUUGGUUUUGUAAUUCAAGAAUAGUAAUAAGAUUAUGUAGUGAAAAGAAAAGCUAAGGAGGAAUAUAUCUUUGUUAUUUGAUUUCAAGUAUAUUCACAAAUAGCUUUCAACACUGACAAAAGAGCGACACACAGGCACUCUUCUUGUUAAGUAACACCAAACAUCUGGAUGAAAACUGAAGAAGAAGAAUCAAGCAAAUUGCCUAUCUUUGAAUAGUCAUGAAGUGAAGCACUCAGGUCUUUGGAACAUCACACACGAACUUUUGAUGAAUGUGUAUUCCUCUUCAAAGUGAAAAUUCUAUGAAAACUGCCUUGGGUUUCUUACAGACAAAUCAUAGUGUCUUAUCUCAGAAUGAGAUAGUGUUAGAAAUGGGAGAACCCUGGAGAGGGGGUUCUUGGGGAUGGCAGAAAAGGAAAGAGGUAGUUCAUCAGAAAUAGGAUAGCGUGCAUCACCAGACAGAGUAACAGGUGCUCUUUAUUGAGGGCUCUCUGUACAGGGCACGGGCAUGGGCAUGGGCCACAUACUUCAUACUCAUUACCUCAUGGAAGCCUCAAAAAAACUGGAUAGUCAUUUGUACUACCACUAUUCUGCUACUGAUGUGACUGAUAAUACUAUUACAACUUAUUGAGUGAUUAUUACACAUCAAGAAUUUUUCUAAGCAUUUUACAUUUACUGAGUUAGUCUUGACACCAAUAUUUUCAUAGAUGAGGUCAUUGAGAACCACAGAGGUCAGCUUACCUAAUCAAUGUACUUAGAGAAGCCACUCUCUCUGCAAAGGGGUUGGUCCUAGAGAGGACUACAAUGGACAACAUUUCCUUGUGUCUCUGAAAAGCUAAGGCAGUCUCAGUCUACACCGUUUUGUCUAGAAAUCUCUUUAUCUGCUCAACAAAUGAUUUUUAUGAAUAGCUGUCUUUUGUGCAAUACUCACUGUGUAAGACACUGUUCUGAGUGCUGUUAUAAGCAUUCCAUAUUGAUAUUUUAU
RNAcentral lists this long non-coding RNA (1553 nucleotides) under Canis lupus familiaris (dog). RNAcentral's name for it is "lncRNA (ENSCAFG00845009065.1)". Lineage: Eukaryota; Metazoa; Chordata; Mammalia; Carnivora; Canidae. The record is from RNAcentral.